RNAcentral lists this ribosomal RNA (413 nucleotides) under Fuligo muscorum. Its description in RNAcentral is "SSU rRNA". It matches the Rfam family "Eukaryotic small subunit ribosomal RNA", at positions 974 to 1473 of the family's 1831-position model. The record is from RNAcentral. Lineage: Eukaryota; Evosea; Eumycetozoa; Physariida; Physaraceae.
UGAUCAAGAGCGAAAGUUAAGGGUUCGAAAACGAUCAGAUACCGUUGUAGUCUUAACUAUAAAUGAUACCAUCCGAAGACAGGACACCGUCCUUUUCGACUCCUUCUGGAUCCUGGAGAAAUUACGAGUCUUUGGGUUCUGGGGGGAGUAUGGUCGCAAGGCUGAAACUUAAAGGAAUUGACGGAAGGGCACACAAAGAGUGGAACCUGCGGCUAGAGCGAUUUGGCCGCGAGAGUAACCCCGGGAAACCGGGGUACUAGUGGGCGGAGAGUGCCCGGGCGGGGAGGGGCGGGAGGGCGGCGGGUGCGAGUGCAGGCUCCCGCCGUCCGAUCCCUCUCCCCGCCCGAGCAAGCUCGCCCGCGACACCAUCAAACUGCGGGGAAUCCCUAAAGCCGGUCGCUCCUACCGAUUGG